UUACGGCCAUAUCAUUUUGAAACACCGGUUCUCGUACGAUCACCGGUUAAGCAACGUUGAACCUGGUCAGUACCUUGGUGGGUACCACUCGGGAAUACCAGGUACUAU
Molecule: non-coding RNA, 108 nt
Organism: Acanthosepion pharaonis
Lineage: Eukaryota; Metazoa; Mollusca; Cephalopoda; Sepiida; Sepiidae
Source: the annotation of a GenBank genome assembly